CAAGGCCACACCUUCUAAUAGUGCCACUCAUGGGACCAAGCAUAUGCAAACCAUCAAAACUGGUAAGCCUCAAACCCUGGCACAAAUGGCUGAGGAGCUUGGUGGUGUCCAUUGGCCCCCAUGGGCUCAUAAGGACUUGUGCUAUUAGGAGGUGUGGCCUUGUGGAGGAAGUGUGUCACUAGAGGACGGGCUGAGAUCUCUGACACUCAACCAGGAUCACAUUCCUUUCCUGAUGCCUGGGGAUCCAGAUGUAAAACAUAAGCAUCUCUCUACUCUGCCCUUCUGGGGCACCCAGCAUGUGGGCAUCUCCCCACGACCAUGCCCUUCAGGCUCUACCACAAGGGCGGUUCUACUUGAACUUCAGCUGUUUUCUCCUCUACCUGCUGUGACACUUGUCUCUUCCCUUCUAUUGGCAUCGUCGAGCUCAACUCAUGAUGACGCCACCAUUGAGAGAAGCUCACCCAAGAAAUGCUCUCAAGGUUCCUGCCUGGUAGUUUCUUCAGCAUUAAACUUGAGCUGCCUGGUGUCUGCCUGCCUAGAGGACUGGUCUGCAUCUGCUGACUCCUAUUUGGUGUUUGCUACAGGACUGAGCUGCUGCCCAAGAAGAUCGAUUUCACCCCCCAAAAAUAUUCCUGUACAAGUCCCCCUUCCCUCCUUUCCUAGUAACUUUUCUCCUCCACUGCCUCUGCUGGGUGAUGGGCUAGAGGAGAGGGCGAACCCUUAUUAAAAGUAAGUUGCAAAAAAAUGUAUGCCCACAAACCUUCCCUGUCCUCCUUUUCUCCUUAGACUCUGGUGAAAGGACAAUGUAAACCCCAUUUGUCACUAUUUAAGUAUCAGGCCUGAUUUUGAAAAGAAGGCCAUAAGGCAUCCCCUCCAGGAACAGACCAUAAAAAUCCAAAAACAAGGUCAUAAAACACCUCCCAAAGAACAGCCUGGGGAUAACCACAAGAUGGGAAAAUAUCUUAUCCCAGGACGGGCCAUCUGUGCUGGGCAGUCCUAUGUCAUCCUGUGGUUAAAUGUUCAUGACAUCGGAAUGCAGACCACUGACCACCUGGCACAAGUCAAUCGGAAGCUGACCCCUGUGACCUCCCCAGUGCCCACCAGUGAAAUUUUAGAUGAGCUAACCCACUCUCUAAAUAUACAAGAACUAACGUUGUAGCCAAUCAAAGUUAUACUAAUGUCACUGAUUUGGCUCCUGCCAAUCACAUUAGAGAUUACCCAAUCCUCUUAGAGAGUUCCCCUGGUUCCUUAUAAGAAGGUCUGCAUGCCUUUAUCUGGGGUCUCCAUUUUGGAAAAUGGUUGACCCUCACAUGCUGGUUGUUUCUGCGGAAUAAAUGCUCUUUGUCUUUG
This is a non-coding RNA of Rattus norvegicus (Norway rat), 1350 nucleotides long. The record is from RefSeq and is a predicted model, not a curated record. Lineage: Eukaryota; Metazoa; Chordata; Mammalia; Rodentia; Muridae.